CAGUCGCCGCGGUAAUACGAAGGGUGCAAGCGUUACUCGGAAUUACUGGGCGUAAAGCGUGCGUAGGUGGUGGUUUAAGUCUGUUGUGAAAGCCCUGGGCUCAACCUGGGAAUUGCAGUGGAUACUGGGUCACUAGAGUGUGGUAGAGGAUAGUGGAAUUUCCGGUGUAGCAGUGAAAUGCGUAGAGAUCGGAAGGAACAUCUGUGGCGAAGGCGACUAUCUGGGCCAACACUGACACUGAGGCACGAAAGCGUGGGGAGCAAACAGGAUUAGAUACCCCCGUAGUCCCUGUCUCUUAUAC
This 301-nucleotide ribosomal RNA is filed under the name uncultured bacterium. Its description in RNAcentral is "partial 16S ribosomal RNA". It matches the Rfam family "Bacterial small subunit ribosomal RNA", at positions 509 to 807 of the family's 1533-position model. The record is from RNAcentral.